UACGUAGGGAGCAAGCGUUAAUCGGAAUUACUGGGCGUAAAGCGUGCGCAGGCGGCUGUGCAAGACAGGUGUGAAAUCCCCGGGCUUAACCUGGGAACUGCACUUGUGACUGCAUGGCUGGAGUACGGCAGAGGGGGAUGGAAUUCCGCGUGUAGCAGUGAAAUGCGUAGAUAUGCGGAGGAACACCGAUGGCGAAGGCAAUCCCCUGGGCCUGUACUGACGCUCAUGCACGAAAGCGUGGGGAGCAAACAGG
RNAcentral lists this ribosomal RNA (253 nucleotides) under uncultured bacterium. RNAcentral describes it as "partial 16S ribosomal RNA". It matches the Rfam family "Bacterial small subunit ribosomal RNA", at positions 524 to 776 of the family's 1533-position model. The record is from RNAcentral.